AUCAACAAGUGCAUUGGUAUGGAAGAUCAAGCAAUGUCGUUAAAGGUGUGCCUAAGAUGUAAGGCGUAAACCUCGAGGCCUCAAAAAGCAAAAGGCAAGUGGCAUUAGCGAGGUGUGCCUUGCACCUUGCACCAAGCGCAAGGCACACCAAGGCGUGCCUCAAGCACAUUUCAUUCAUCCUCAUUUCUUUUUUCAAUUUCAACCUAGUACCAACCACACCCAAUCAUAUCAACACGACACCCUCUCAUUAGGCAAUCUAGAAGCCCUAAAAAAAGGGAGAUAAAACCUGUGAUUUUUGUUGUUGUGCCUACUAGUGCAUUUGAACCAAGUUUUUUUUUUAUUAUUA
This 346-nucleotide unclassified non-coding RNA is filed under the name Hevea brasiliensis (rubber tree). The record is from RNAcentral. Lineage: Eukaryota; Viridiplantae; Streptophyta; Magnoliopsida; Malpighiales; Euphorbiaceae.